GAGCAGAGCGGUUGCGAAGCGGCCCGAUGCGGCCUGGUAAUAAUGGCCGGCUCUCGGUUGUACGUAUGUACACUGCCGUGCAAUGCGCAACGCGCGCACGGCAGGAGAACACACGUUACAUAACUCGUUUACGGUUGCUCGUGCUCGUGCUCAUAGAUUUGGAUACGGUUUCCGUCGCGGUUUGCAAGCUCGUAUGUACGUUUCGCUAAUGCCGCCGCCGCUGCCGCCGCCGCCGCCACCACCACCACCACCACCACCACCACCACCACUACCGCAGAGUAUACGUGCAAAAGUUUCUUCUCUCCAAUCUUUAAUGGCAAAUUAUUUAUUAGAUGCUUUAUUGUUUUAUGAAAUAAUCAAAAAACUUUUAACGUACUAUAUUGAUUAGCGAAACAUCAUUUCCGAUAAGAAUACGAACGCGAGUGAUGGAUCUGUGAUUUCCUUAACGUUUAUUGCAUACAUUCAUAUUGCAUAAUAUAAUGCUAAACUAAUAAUUGAAAGAAAUUGACAAUUGACUGAAAACUUGGUAAUAUUGCCGUUGGAAACAAUUAGAUUGUAGAAUACUAUCGGAAAAUAACGAAUGCUCCGAAUUUCGAAUAGAAAUUCUUAAUUCGUAAUAGAAUUAAAAAGAUCUUACAAAUCUAUUUAUUUAUAUACUUACAUAAUACUCUACAAGUAUUAAAGAAUCUCUGGAUUACAUUGUACCCCUGUGUCUCUCGAUCCUCGAUUAACGAUGUUAAUAGAAAAAAAGAGGCUAGAUUGAGCUAGACGACGACGACGAAACAGUCCCGUCCCUCGAUCAUUCUCUCCGACGUACGUAAACCGUUGCGGACGAUCGAUGACGAAUAGCGGGCUACGGACGAUUUAUUUUAAAUAUAACCGCUCGAUUCAUUGGCCGAUUUGUUACGGGCAUUCCGGGGGCGACGCGAACGGUGUACGCGCGCGCGCGCCCCCUUGUUUCCCUUACGUUGAAAGGGGAGAGACAGACGCGAGGUGCAAUCCGUACAAUGUCACCCCGAAGCGCGCUCGUAAUUCGAAUAUAAUGGACUCCGUUUCUCCCUACCGUAAUACGCGCGCGCCGUAUAUAUCGCCGUCGCUGAAUGCUGUUGUAUUGUCGAUUUCAGCCCUCGCUGCUGAUUCGACACGAUGGUGAACGCGCUGGCAAAACAUAUCGUGCUCUCUCACCCUCGUGUCUCGCGCUCGCCCAAGAUUCCACCAAACAAAAGGAUUUCGUAUUUUGAAUCAACCGGAGAAUAUCAUAUUACGUUACAUUAGAUUUGAACUUUCGAUAAUUACAGCCGUACAGUCAUUCUAGAUAAAAACAAAGUGAAUGUUUAUGGAAAGUCGAGAAAGACUGGUAUACUCGUACUUAUACGUUAUUAUCGUUUGAUUUAGAACACAAAGUCGAGUUCAACUAUAUCAACGUAAACACAUCCACGAUAUACUCGUACUUUCUUUGGAAUAAUAUCUAAACUUGUAUAAUUUCUCAUAAAUUCUCGCGUUAACGUAUAUUGUACAAAAAUUUAAUCAGUACUCUAAAAUUUGAUUUGAAACGACGACUACUUUCUCCAAAGCUGCGGGUUCGUCGAAUUCGUCUCGCCGUUCACUCGCGUACGAGCGGAACGGAAAAAAAAUAAGCGGUUAAAGUAGGCUACUAUUCGUUUACCGGGAUCGUCUCCGCCUACGUCGGCUGCAUUGUUACGGUAAUUUCGUUCCACGACGGUCAGGAAGAGCGCUCUUUCGCCAAGUACGCUCAUUGGCAAGGGAAAGGCACAGGAAAUCGUCCAGGAAACGAUGCGCGCGGUGCUGCGAAAUAUUAGUUUAUAGCAUUGGAGUUUAUAGCCUCGGCUGAGCGGCCGGCGGGCCUACUUGCGAAGGAACAUCCGUCACGGAUGUAUAAUUAAAGCACGAUGGAUGGGACGAUUAACGAGCGCUGUUAUCGGGAUCGUUACGCUCGCUGCUGCGCUACCUAUAUAUAAUAUACGUAAGGAAAUGCCGCGGAAAUACCGCGAGGACGCGUUCCGUUCCGGGUUCUCGCGCUGCUACCUCGUAAUUAUUCCGCCGCUCUCGGUUACGUUCUUAGCGGAAUCGACACGCGGAUGGCUCUAACAAGACUGUGUUGUCUCGCUGACUAAUAUGAUCAUCAAUUUGUUCUAUAUGUCUCUGACUUUUUCAAAUUUUUCUAUUCAAUUUUCAUAUUUCCUCCCCAUUUCGUAUUCUCUCUCGCUAUCGUCCGAUCAUUUUGUUUCAUUUAUAUUUUCCGUUCAUUGUCGUUAGAAUUAAUUUGUUCCAUGUUUGUAUUACUUAAAGUUUAAUUUGUUAGAACCGUUUCGUUCUACCUUCGUACCAAACGUGAACGUAAAACGAUUGGAGUUUAUUAUUCCUUCUAUCUCUACCUCGAAACGUUAUAUUAUUGCUAAAUUCCAUAUAUUAUUGCUAAAUUUCAGUAAUCUCAUUCUUGAUAAAUUCAAGAAAAGAAGUUAAUAUUUUUUUAUGUUUAUGAUAUAUAAUUCUAGAAUGCAUAUUCUCACCACUUCUGUUCAACAUAUACGUGGAGAAAAUAUUUCAAUUGCUACUAAAAGAUCAAAGAUCAGAUAUAAAAGUAAAUGGAAUCCGUAUUAACAACCUGCGCUAUGCAGAUGACACAGCGAUACUGGCUGAGAACAUCCAAGAUUUACAAGCAAUAUUGAACACCGUCAAUGUAGCAGGGAAAGAAUAUGGCCUCAUCAGCAUCAAUGUAAGCAAAACCAAAUUAAUGUAAGGUGGCAAGCUCACGAAAAUGCAAAUCUCUUCUUGAAUGAUCAACCAAUUAAAAGAGUAAAUAAUUUCAAAUAUUUAAAUCUCUACACUUAACGCUAAGUGAGAUAACGAUGGAGAGAUCAAGACAAGAAUAGCAGUGGCCAAGAAUACCUUUACUAAGUUCAAUACAAUAGAAGCCUACUACUGGGAUCUAGAUACAACCUCCUCAAAAUCAUUCUCACCGGAAAGAUCGAGGGCACAAACAGAGGACAAGGGCGCAAACAACACUCAUGACUCCAUGCAACAUCGGGAAUUGGUGUGACAUCUCAAAGGCUGCCACUUUAUUCAAACGUACAGAAAAAGGCACGCUAAACAUACGCUACGCUAAGCGUAUGGCACUAUAAGAAGAUAUAAUUCUAAAUAUAUAAUAUAGAGAAAAACAUUUCUAAACUUAUUCUCUUGUGUUCUUCAAUAAAUAAACAAAUGGAGACAUAAUUUUCCGAAGAGUUAAAAGUAAGUAAGAACGAAGUAAUAUAGUUGUUAAACAGCAAUA
This is an RNA transcript of Solenopsis invicta (red fire ant), 3292 nucleotides long. RefSeq lists it as uncharacterized. Lineage: Eukaryota; Metazoa; Arthropoda; Insecta; Hymenoptera; Formicidae. The record is from RefSeq and is a predicted model, not a curated record. The transcript has 3 exons.